AUGCAUGCUUUUAAAGCUCUUCCUUUGCCAUAUGUGAUGGGUGCCAAAAGGAUGUCCCAGUGGCGCUCAUAAGCUUUGGCAAUUGUAGGCUUGAUGCCAAAAUCAAGACCAACAUAGGAUAUACAAACAGAACACAUAGGCCGGGGUAAAAGAAAACAGAGGGAAGGAAGUGAAGAAGAAGCAAAAAGUUCUAGCCAUAAAGAAAAAUAAGAGUAGUAAGGACGAUAAAUUUUAGAAAUUUGUUUACGGCUUAAGAUGCAAGUCACUGACCUGGCCAAUUGUAAACUCUAGCUUACCAAAUCAACUAGUUGG
RNAcentral lists this long non-coding RNA (312 nucleotides) under Rosa chinensis. RNAcentral's name for it is "sRNA RchiOBHm_Chr7g0184571". The record is from RNAcentral. Lineage: Eukaryota; Viridiplantae; Streptophyta; Magnoliopsida; Rosales; Rosaceae.